GGGGAAAAGCUUGCUUUUCCGCCGGCGACCGGCGCACGGGUGCGGAACGCGUAUGGAACCUGCCCCUGUCAGGGGAAUAGCCCAGGGAAACUUGGAUUAAUGCCCCAUGGUACCAAUAUAUCGCAUGAUAUUUUGGUUAAAGAUUUAUCGGACAGGGAUGGCCAUGCGUACCAUUAGUUAGAUGGUGAGGUAACGGCUCACCAUGGCAGCGAUGGUUAGGGGCCCUGAGAGGGGGAUCCCCCACACUGGUACUGAGACACGGACCAGACUCCUACGGGAGGCAGCAGUGAGGAAUAUUGGACAAUGGUCGGGAGACUGAUCCAGCCAUGCCGCGUGCAGGAUGACUGCCCUAUGGGUUGUAAACUGCUUUUAUACGGGAAGAAACCCACCUACGUGUAGGUGGCUGACGGUACCGUAAGAAUAAGGACCGGCUAACUCCGUGCCAGCAGCCGCGGUAAUACGGAGGGUCCGAGCGUUAUCCGGAAUCAUUGGGUUUAAAGGGUCCGUAGGCGGGCCGUUAAGUCAGGGGUGAAAGUCUGCGGCUCAACCGUAGAAUUGCCUUUGAUACUGGCGGUCUUGAGUCAUGGUGGGGUUGCCGGAACAUGUGGUGUAGCGGUGAAAUGCAUAGAUAUCACAUAGAACACCGAUCGCGAAGGCAGGUGACCAACCAUGUACUGACGCUGAUGGACGAAAGCGUGGGUAGCGAACGGGAUUAGAUACCCCGGUAGUCCACGCCGUAAA
RNAcentral lists this ribosomal RNA (741 nucleotides) under uncultured Bacteroidota bacterium. RNAcentral's name for it is "bacterial SSU rRNA". It matches the Rfam family "Bacterial small subunit ribosomal RNA", at positions 70 to 806 of the family's 1533-position model. Lineage: Bacteria; Pseudomonadati; Bacteroidota. The record is from RNAcentral.